This 637-nucleotide ribosomal RNA is filed under the name uncultured bacterium. RNAcentral's name for it is "bacterial SSU rRNA". It matches the Rfam family "Bacterial small subunit ribosomal RNA", at positions 607 to 1244 of the family's 1533-position model. The record is from RNAcentral.
GCUCAACCGAGGAAGUGCUUCGAAAACUGGUAAACUUGAGUGCAGAAGAGGAAAGUGGAACUCUAUGUGUAGCGGUGGAAUGCGUAGAUAUAUGGAAGAACACCAGUGGCGAAGGCGGCUUUCUGGUCUGUAACUGACGCUGAGAUUCGAAAGCAUGGGUAGCAAACAGGAUUAGAUACCCUGGUAGUCCAUGCCGUAAACGAUGAGUGCUAAGUGUUGGAGGGUUUCCGCCCUUCAGUGCUGCAGCUAACGCAUUAAGCACUCCGCCUGGGGAGUACGACCGCAAGGUUGAAACUCAAAGGAAUUGACGGGGGCCCGCACGAGCGGUGGAGCAUGUGGUUUAAUUCGAAGCAACGCGAAGAACCUUACCAGGUCUUGACAUACCAUGAAAAGCUUAGAGAUAAGUCUUUCCCUUCGGGGACAUGGAUACAGGUGGUGCAUGGUUGUCGUCAGCUCGUGUCGUGAGAUGUUGGGUUAAGUCCCGCAACGAGCGCAACCCUUAUUAUCAGUUGCCAGCAUUCAGUUGGGCACUCUGGUGAGACUGCCGGUGACAAACCGGAGGAAGGUGGGGACGACGUCAAAUCAUCAUGCCCCUUAUGACCUGCGCUACACACGUGCUACAAUGGUCGGUACAACG